This is a long non-coding RNA of Phyllostomus discolor (pale spear-nosed bat), 500 nucleotides long. RefSeq lists it as uncharacterized. The record is from RefSeq and is a predicted model, not a curated record. Lineage: Eukaryota; Metazoa; Chordata; Mammalia; Chiroptera; Phyllostomidae. The transcript is spliced from 3 exons.
CCUAAAAUAAUCAAUAGAGGGUUCUUACUGCCGCCAUGUCCCAGCCUCUGUAGGAAACUGAACUCUUCAGGGAAUAGAUGUGAAAUUGGACAAUUUGUCUAACAAGGAGUCUGGGGAAUUGAGUUCUAUUGGCACAGAAAUUACAAAUAUUCCCCCAGUUCCUACAGUUUGUCUUCUACCCCAGCUUUUCUUCUUCUUCGGGUCAGGAGGAUAUCUACUUAUGCACCUAUGAGGCAUCCUUCUGACUCCAAGGUCUAACUUCAUCACCAGGGAGGACACUGGGACAAGUUUGACUCAUGCCUUUGAUGAUACCAAGAGAAAAAAAUGGUCCGUCCGUCAUCCUUCACAUCAGCGGAUGCUGCCAAAUGCUGGUCGAGACUGGACAACGCUGAGCACUAGAUCGGCCACUUUCCACGUGUUACUUCACUUCAUCUUCUGAGAAAACCUGAAGGUUGAAAAAAGUCCUCAAAGGAAAAUGUUUUGCUGAUGUGGAAGUGGUG